Molecule: long non-coding RNA, 227 nt
Organism: Nylanderia fulva
Lineage: Eukaryota; Metazoa; Arthropoda; Insecta; Hymenoptera; Formicidae
Source: RefSeq, a predicted model, not a curated record
GUAAUUCUGAAUCGCUAGAGUCCACCUAGCUAUUCUAGGAUUCAGCGGAAUUUGUCGCCUGGCUAAAAUAAGCUAUCGGAGCCCACUUUCCGUCGCCCUGUUUCUGAAGAAGCACCGCACCGAUUCCCGUACUGCAUGCAUCCGUAUGCAAUUGAGUUUCCGCUGCCGGGUCAUACAACCUUAAUACCGGAUGCUAUGAGAACGUCGUCUAUGUACACGAGUACCUU